GGGUUGUGAGGUUAAGCGACUAAGCGUACACGGUGGAUGCCCUGGCAGUCAGAGGCGAUGAAGGACGUGCUAAUCUGCGAUAAGCGUCGGUAAGGUGAUAUGAACCGUUAUAACCGGCGAUUUCCGAAUGGGGAAACCCAGUGUGUUUCGACACACUAUCAUUAACUGAAUCCAUAGGUUAAUGAGGCGAACCGGGGGAACUGAAACAUCUAAGUACUCCGAGGAAAAGAAAUCAACCGAGAUUCCCCCAGUAGCGGCGAGCGAACGGGGAGCAGCCCAGAGCCUGAAUCAGUAUGUGUGUUAGUGGAAGCGUCUGGAAAGGCGCGCGAUACAGGGUGACAGCCCCGUACACAAAAAUGCACAUGCUGUGAGCUCGAUGAGUAGGGCGGGACACGUGGUAUCCUGUCUGAAUAUGGGGGGACCAUCCUCCAAGGCUAAAUACUCCUGACUGACCGAUAGUGAACCAGUACCGUGAGGGAAAGGCGAAAAGAACCCCGGCGAGGGGAGUGAAAAAGAACCUGAAACCGUGUACGUACAAGCAGUGGGAGCACGCUUAGGCGUGUGACUGCGUACCUUUUGUAUAAUGGGUCAGCGACUUAUAUUCUGUAGCAAGGUUAACCGAAUAGGGGAGCCGAAGGGAAACCGAGUCUUAACUGGGCGUUAAGUUGCAGGGUAUAGACCCGAAACCCGGUGAUCUAGCCAUGGGCAGGUUGAAGGUUGGGUAACACUAACUGGAGGACCGAACCGACUAAUGUUGAAAAAUUAGCGGAUGACUUGUGGCUGGGGGUGAAAGGCCAAUCAAACCGGGAGAUAGCUGGUUCUCCCCGAAAGCUAUUUAGGUAGCGCCUCGUGAAUUCAUCUCCGGGGGUAGAGCACUGUUUCGGCAAGGGGGUCAUCCCGACUUACCAACCCGAUGCAAACUGCGAAUACCGGAGAAUGUUAUCACGGGAGACACACGGCGGGUGCUAACGUCCGUCGUGAAGAGGGAAACAACCCAGACCGCCAGCUAAGGUCCCAAAGUCAUGGUUAAGUGGGAAACGAUGUGGGAAGGCCCAGACAGCCAGGAUGUUGGCUUAGAAGCAGCCAUCAUUUAAAGAAAGCGUAAUAGCUCACUGGUCGAGUCGGCCUGCGCGGAAGAUGUAACGGGGCUAAACCAUGCACCGAAGCUGCGGCAGCGACGCUGAUGCGUUGUUGGGUAGGGGAGCGUUCUGUAAGCCUGUGAAGGUGUGCUGUGAGGCAUGCUGGAGGUAUCAGAAGUGCGAAUGCUGACAUAAGUAACGAUAAAGCGGGUGAAAAGCCCGCUCGCCGGAAGACCAAGGGUUCCUGUCCAACGUUAAUCGGGGCAGGGUGAGUCGACCCCUAAGGCGAGGCCGAAAGGCGUAGUCGAUGGGAAACAGGUUAAUAUUCCUGUACUUGGUGUUACUGCGAAGGGGGGACGGAGAAGGCUAUGUUGGCCGGGCGACGGUUGUCCCGGUUUAAGCGUGUAGGCUGGUUUUCCAGGCAAAUCCGGAAAAUCAAGGCUGAGGCGUGAUGACGAGGCACUACGGUGCUGAAGCAACAAAUGCCCUGCUUCCAGGAAAAGCCUCUAAGCAUCAGGUAACAUCAAAUCGUACCCCAAACCGACACAGGUGGUCAGGUAGAGAAUACCAAGGCGCUUGAGAGAACUCGGGUGAAGGAACUAGGCAAAAUGGUGCCGUAACUUCGGGAGAAGG
Molecule: ribosomal RNA, 1712 nt
Filed under: Escherichia coli
Lineage: Bacteria; Pseudomonadati; Pseudomonadota; Gammaproteobacteria; Enterobacterales; Enterobacteriaceae
Description: partial 23S ribosomal RNA
Rfam family: Bacterial large subunit ribosomal RNA
Source: RNAcentral